This 902-nucleotide long non-coding RNA is filed under the name Rattus norvegicus (Norway rat). RNAcentral's name for it is "long non-coding RNA NONRATT011030". Lineage: Eukaryota; Metazoa; Chordata; Mammalia; Rodentia; Muridae. The record is from RNAcentral.
GAGUAGGACAGCCGAGGUCUGCACUGGGUACUUCAUCGUCUGGGCUGGCUCUAUCAAUCUGCCUCACAACCGUGAUGGAGGGGAAGCCCAGAAAAGUCACUUUGUCCUGUGCUCGCUAGUGAUUCCUAGAAACGCAUCAGCUUCCCCUGAGUCUCAUAGGUGAAGCGUGAUGUCUGCAACGCCCCCGCAGGGCACAGAUGUUCUGAGUGACAUCGGAAGUGAAUGCGCUGCUCUGCUGGGCUGUGGAAAGCUGCUCAUUUAGUUCUCCAUCCAGAUUCACCUCUGGAACUCCCAACCACACCCCACCAUUGGAAUGGAUGCCAACGGAGAGUGGGACCAGAAACACUGUCUUUCACCUUGAGUCCUAGGGUGCCAGCAAUGGGACUACCCAAGUCCCGUGCAGAGAAAUGACCAGACUCUGAGGACUGUGGUGUGGUGGCAAAUGUGUCCUUCCCAGGCUGAGUCAGUAAGAAAGCCAACGUGAAGCUCUGCCGUCACCGGACCACAAGACCUCCCGGGAGAUCCGCUCUCAUUUCUCUCCUUAAACCUCACUAACAUCUCCUCGAAGAGAAGAAGCUGGCUGCCACCCAUGGCAGGAGGCAAGAGCAUCUGAAGCUGACUCCAAGUACCCACCAAGGUUCCUUCCACAUCCCAGGAUGGGAGGGGCUGGGGAGUUAGGACAUCAAGCCCUGGCAGCACUCAGUCUUCUGCAGUUCGCAUCUGGCAGGGAUCUCACCAUCCUCUACCCAGCAUCACAAGGACGGAGAGAGCUCAGGGUCCUGGGGACUGGGAAUCAUUCUUGGGUUUGUUUGAAAUGUUUUCUAAACAAACAGUCUGGUCACUCCUAGUUUUCAUGUACAUCUCAACUCCGCUUCAACUUAAACUUUAUUUGUAUAAAACCC